UGAGGAAUAUUGGGCAAUGGGCGCAAGCCUGACCCAGCCAUGCCGCGUGAAGGAUGAAGGCUCUACGAGUCGUAAACUUCUUUUCUACGGGAAUAAACUCUUGUACGUGUACAGGAUUGAAUGUACUGUAGGAAUAAGCAUCGGCUAACUCCGUGCCAGCAGCCGCGGUAAUACGGAGGAUGCAGGCGUUAUCCGGAUUUAUUAGGUUUAAAGGGUGCGUAGGUGGCUCGAUAAGUCAGUGGUGAAAGCCUACAGCUUAACUGUAGAACUGCCAUUGAAACUGCCGAGCUUGAAUUUGGUUGAGGUAGGCGGAAUGUGUAAUGUAGCGGUGAAAUGCAUAGAUAUUACACAGAACACCAAUUGCGAAGGCAGCUUGCUAAACCAUGAUUGACACUGAGGCACGAAAGCGUGGGGAUCAAACAGG
This 424-nucleotide ribosomal RNA is filed under the name uncultured bacterium. RNAcentral's name for it is "bacterial SSU rRNA". It matches the Rfam family "Bacterial small subunit ribosomal RNA", at positions 355 to 776 of the family's 1533-position model. The record is from RNAcentral.